RNAcentral lists this ribosomal RNA (483 nucleotides) under uncultured bacterium. RNAcentral's name for it is "partial 16S ribosomal RNA". It matches the Rfam family "Bacterial small subunit ribosomal RNA", at positions 29 to 506 of the family's 1533-position model. The record is from RNAcentral.
AUUGAACGCUGGCGGCAUGCUUUACACAUGCAAGUCGAACGGCAGCGCGGGCUUCGGCCUGGCGGCGAGUGGCGAACGGGUGAGUAAUGCAUCGGAACGUGCCCAGUAGUGGGGGAUAGCCCGGCGAAAGCCGGAUUAAUACCGCAUACGACCUGAGGGUGAAAGCGGGGGACCGAAAGGCCUCGCGCUAUUGGAGCGGCCGAUGUCGGAUUAGCUAGUUGGUGGGGUAAAGGCUUACCAAGGCGACGAUCCGUAGCUGGUCUGAGAGGACGACCAGCCACACUGGAACUGAGACACGGCCCAGACUCCUACGGGAGGCAGCAGUGGGGAAUUUUGGACAAUGGGGGCAACCCUGAUCCAGCCAUGCCGCGUGCGGGAAGAAGGCCUUCGGGUUGUAAACCGCUUUUGUUCGGGAAGAAAUCCUCUGGGCUAAUACCCCGGGGGGAUGACGGUACCGGAAGAAUAAGCACCGGCUAACUACGG